GAACGGUAAGGCCCUUUCGGGGGUACACGAGUGGCGAACGGGUGAGUAACACGUGGGUGAUCUGCCCUGCACUUUGGGAUAAGCCUGGGAAACUGGGUCUAAUACCGGAUAGGACCAUGGUCUGCAUGGAUUGUGGUGGAAAGCUUUUGCGGUGUGGGAUGGGCCCGCGGCCUAUCAGCUUGUUGGUGGGGUGAUGGCCUACCAAGGCGACGACGGGUAGCCGGCCUGAGAGGGUGUCCGGCCACACUGGGACUGAGAUACGGCCCAGACUCCUACGGGAGGCAGCAGUGGGGAAUAUUGCACAAUGGGCGCAAGCCUGAUGCAGCGACGCCGCGUGGGGGAUGACGGCCUUCGGGUUGUAAACCUCUUUCAAUAGGGACGAAGCGCAAGUGACGGUACCUAUAGAAGAAGCACCGGCCAACUACGUGCCAGCAGCCGCGGUAAUACGUAGGGUGCGAGCGUUGUCCGGAAUUACUGGGCGUAAAGAGCUCGUAGGUGGUUUGUCACGUUGUCCGUGAAAACUCACAGCUUAACUAUGGGCGUGCGGGCGAUACGGGCAGACUGGAGUACUGCAGGGGAGACUGGAAUUCCUGGUGUAGCGGUGGAAUGCGCAGAUAUCAGGAGGAACACCGGUGGCGAAGGCGGGUCUCUGGGCAGUAACUGACGCUGAGGAGCGAAAGCGUGGGGAGCGAACAGGAUUAGAUACCCUGGUAGUCCACGCCGUAAACGGUGGGUACUAGGUGUGGGUUUCCUUCCUUGGGAUCCGUGCCGUAGCUAACGCAUUAAGUACCCCGCCUGGGGAGUACGGCCGCAAGGCUAAAACUCAAAGAAAUUGACGGGGGCCCGCACAAACGGCGGAGCAUGUGGAUUAAUCCGAUGCAACGCGAAGAACCUUACCUGGGUUUGACAUGCACAGGACGCUGGUAGAGAUAUCAGUUCCCUUGUGGCCUGUGUGCAGGUGGUGCAUGGCUGUCGUCAGCUCGUGUCGUGAGAUGUUGGGUUAAGUCCCGCAACGAGCGCAACCCUUGUCCUAUGUUGCCAGCGGGUUAUGCCGGGGACUCGUAGGAGACUGCCGGGGUCAACUCGGAGGAAGGUGGGGAUGACGUCAAGUCAUCAUGCCCCUUAUGUCCAGGGCUUCACACAUGCUACAAUGGCCGGUACAAAGGGCUGCGAUGCCGUGAGGUGGAGCGAAUCCUUGUUAAAGCCGGUCUCAGUUCGGAUCGGGGU
RNAcentral lists this ribosomal RNA (1227 nucleotides) under uncultured bacterium. RNAcentral's name for it is "bacterial SSU rRNA". It matches the Rfam family "Bacterial small subunit ribosomal RNA", at positions 64 to 1304 of the family's 1533-position model. The record is from RNAcentral.